UGAGUUGAUCCUGGCUCAGGACGAACGCUAGCGGCGUGCUUUAAGCAUGCAAGUAGAACGAGUUGCGAUAGCAAUAUCGUAACUAGUUGCGAACGGCUGAGUAAUCAAUAGGAAUCUUUCCUUUAGUGGGGAAUACCUCAUCGAAAGAUGAGCUAAUACCGCAUAAUACCUACGGGUGAAAGCGAUUAACUUCGCGCUGAUUGAGGAGCCUAUUGCCCAUCAGGUAGUUGGUAGGGUAAAAGCCUACCAAGCCUACGACGGGUACCCGAUCUGAGAGGAUGACCGGGCAGAAUGGGACUGAGACACGGCCCAUACACCUACGGGUGGCAGCAACUGGGAAUCGUACACAAUGGACGAAAGUCUGAUGUCGCGACGCCGCGUGAAGGAUGAAGGCGUUUUCGUUGUAAACUUCUUUUGCCAAUGUAGAGAUGCAUUGGAGAAUAAGCACCUGCUAAUCUCGUGCCAGCAGCCGCGGUAAUACGAGAGGUGCAAGCGUUGUCCGGAUUUAUUGGGCGUAAAGCGUUUCUAAAGGCGCUUUUGUAAGUUAUCUUUCAAAGACCGGAGCUCAACUUCGGGAAGGGAGAUAAUACUGCAAGAGUUGAAAUAUUUCGGGGUUACUAGAACUAUCGGUGUAGGGGUGAAAUCCGUUGAUAUCGAUAGGAAUUCCAAGGGCGAAGGCAGGUAACUAGGAAUUUUUUGACGCUGAUGAACGAAAGCUAGGGGAGCGAAAGGGAUUAGAGACCCCUGUAGUCCUAGCCGUAAACUAUGCUCGCUAGACCAGUGGAUUUAUCUGCUGGACGUAAGCUAACGCGUGAAGCGAGCCGCCUGGGGAGUACGAACGCAAGUUUAAAACUCAAAGGAAUUGACGGGAGAGCGCACAACCAGUGGAGCAUGUGGUUCAAUUCGAGACAAACCGAAGAGCCUUACCAGGGUUUGACAUGCUAUCGUUUUAGUUCCGCAGAAACGUGGAAUGAUCUUAUUGAAAAAUGAGAUGAUAGCACAGGUGUUGCAUGGCUGUCGUCAGCUCGUGCCGUGGGGUGUUCCCUUCAGUGGGGUAACGAGCGCAACCCCUGUCCUGUAUUAAAUAUUUACAGGAGACUUUUCACCUUUUUGGUGGGAGGAAGUGGGGAUGAUGUCAAGUCAGCAUGGCCCUUAUGUCCUGGGCUACACACAUGCUACAAUGGAGCCGACAAUGGGUUGCCAAGCCGUAAGGCGGAGCUAAUCCCAUCAAACGGCUUCUCAGUGGGGAUUGAGGGCUGCAAUUCGCCCUCAUGAACGCGGAAUUGGUAGUAAUCGGGUAUCAGCUAUGGCCCGGUGAAUACGUUCUCGCUCUUUGUACACACCGCCCGUCAAGUCAGCAAAGUUGGGGGCACCCGAAUGUCUAAUGUUUAGGCAGAAGGUGACACCAGCGAUGAGGAUUAAGUCGUAACAAGGUAUCCGUUCUGGAAGGAGCGGCUGGAUCACCUCCUUUCU
Molecule: ribosomal RNA, 1473 nt
Filed under: uncultured bacterium
Lineage: Bacteria
Description: bacterial SSU rRNA
Rfam family: Bacterial small subunit ribosomal RNA
Source: RNAcentral